UCUCGGGCUCCGUGCAACGGGCGGCUGCAAACCCCGCCAGGUCCGGAAGGAAGCAACGGUAGC
This 63-nucleotide signal recognition particle RNA is filed under the name Terriglobia bacterium. Its description in RNAcentral is "Solibacteres bacterium partial signal recognition particle sRNA small type". It matches the Rfam family "Bacterial small signal recognition particle RNA", at positions 1 to 63 of the family's 97-position model. From Rfam's summary of the family: The signal recognition particle (SRP) is a universally conserved ribonucleoprotein involved in the co-translational targeting of proteins to membranes. Lineage: Bacteria; Pseudomonadati; Acidobacteriota; Terriglobia. The record is from RNAcentral.